This 440-nucleotide ribosomal RNA is filed under the name uncultured bacterium. Its description in RNAcentral is "partial 16S ribosomal RNA". It matches the Rfam family "Bacterial small subunit ribosomal RNA", at positions 338 to 795 of the family's 1533-position model. The record is from RNAcentral.
CCUACGGGAGGCAGCAGUGGGGAAUAUUGCACCAUGGGGGAAACCCUGAUGCAGCGACGCCGCGUGAGCGAUGAAGUAUUUCGGUAUGUAAAGCUCUAUCAGCAGGGAAGCAAAUGACGGUACCUGACUAAGACGCCCCGGCUAACUACGUACCAACCGCCGCGGUAAUACGUAGGGGGCAAGCGUUAUCCUGAUUUACUGGGUGUAAAGGGAGCGUAGACGGCUGUGCAAGACAGAGGUGAAAGCCCGGGGCUCAACCCCGGGACUGCAUUUGGAACUGUUUGGCUGGAGUGUCGGAGAGGCAGGCGGAAGUCCUAGUGUAGCGGUGAAAUGCGUAGAUAGUAGGAGGAACACCAGUGGCGAAGGCGGCCUGCUGGACGAUGACUGACGUUGAGGCUCGAAAGCGUGGGGAGCAAACAGGAUUAGAUACCCGUGUAGUC